GGUCCCGCCUGCCCAGUGACUCUUUAAACGGCCGCGGUAUCCUAACCGUGCAAAGGUAGCAUAAUCACUUGUCCCCUAAAUCGGGACUGGAAUGAACGGCUAAAUGAGGACUAAACUGUCUCUUACACACUGGCCAAUGAAAUUGAUUUCCCAGUACAAAAGCUGGGAUUUACCCAUAAGACGAGAAGACCCUGUGGAGCUUCAAAACCAAACCAUUUAGUAUGUCCCUUGGUUUUUUAGUUGGGGCGACUUCGGAAUACAACAAAACUUCCAAAAUAAAAUUAAAUCAUUAAGGUUAACACACCAAAAUCUCCACACAGACCCAGCAAUUAAUUUGUCUGAUCAAUGAACCAAGUUACCCCAGGGAUAACAGCGCAAUCUCCUUUUAGAGUUCCUAUCGACAAGGGG
RNAcentral lists this ribosomal RNA (408 nucleotides) under Lacerta trilineata. RNAcentral describes it as "partial 16S ribosomal RNA". It matches the Rfam family "Archaeal large subunit ribosomal RNA", at positions 1943 to 2584 of the family's 2987-position model. The record is from RNAcentral. Lineage: Eukaryota; Metazoa; Chordata; Lepidosauria; Squamata; Lacertidae.